GCCUACGACCAUAUCACCCUGAAUGCGCCCGAUCUCGUCUGAUCUCGGAAGCUAAGCAUGGUCGAGCCUGGUUAGUACUUGGAUGGGCGACUGCCUGGGAAUACCAGGUGUUGUAGGCU
Molecule: ribosomal RNA, 119 nt
Filed under: Petromyzon marinus (sea lamprey)
Lineage: Eukaryota; Metazoa; Chordata; Hyperoartia; Petromyzontiformes; Petromyzontidae
Source: RNAcentral